RNAcentral lists this ribosomal RNA (253 nucleotides) under uncultured bacterium. RNAcentral's name for it is "partial 16S ribosomal RNA". It matches the Rfam family "Bacterial small subunit ribosomal RNA", at positions 524 to 776 of the family's 1533-position model. The record is from RNAcentral.
UACGUAGGGUGCAAGCGUUGUCCGGAAUUAUUGGGCGUAAAGAGCUCGUAGGCGGUUUGUCGCGUCGGCUGUGAAAACCUAGGGCUCAACUCUGGGCUUGCAGCCGAUACGGGCAAACUAGAAUUCGGUAGGGGAGAACGGAAUUCCUGGUGUAGCGGUGAAAUGCGCAGAUAUCAGGAGGAACACCGGUGGCGAAGGCGGUUCUCUGGGCAUGUCCUGACGCUGAGGCGCGAAAGCUAGGGGAGCAAACAGG